CCUACGGGUGGCUGCAGUGAGGAAUAUUGGUCAAUGGUCGAGAGUCUGAACCAGCCAAGUAGCGUGAAGGAUGACUGCACUGAGGGUUGUAAACUUCUUUUAUAUGGGAAUAAAAUGUUCCACGUGUGGGAUUUUGUAUGUACCUUAUGAAUAAGGAUCGGCUAACUCCGUGCCAGCAGCCGCGGUAAUACUGAGGAUCCGAGCGUUAUCCGGAUUUAUUGGGUUUAAAGGGUGCGUAGGUGGAUUGUUAAGUCAGUUGUGAAAGUUUGGGGCUCAACCGGCAAAUUGCAGUUGAAACUGGCAGUCUUGAGUACAGUAGAGGUGGGCGGAAUUCGUGGUGUAGCGGUGAAAUGCUUAGAUAUCGCGCAGAACUCAGAUUGCGAAGGCAGUUCACUGGACUGCAACUGACACUGAGGCUCGAAAGUGUGGGUAUCAAACAGGAUUAGAUACCCCGGUAGUC
RNAcentral lists this ribosomal RNA (460 nucleotides) under uncultured bacterium. RNAcentral's name for it is "partial 16S ribosomal RNA". It matches the Rfam family "Bacterial small subunit ribosomal RNA", at positions 338 to 795 of the family's 1533-position model. The record is from RNAcentral.